CAUUUAAAGUGGUACGCGAGCUGGGUUUAGAACGUCGUGAGACAGUUCGGUCCCUAUCUGCCGUGGGCGCUGGAGAACUGAGGGGGGCUGCUCCUAGUACGAGAGGACCGGAGUGGACGCAUCACUGGUGUUCGGGUUGUCAUGCCAAUGGCACUGCCCGGUAGCUAAAUGCGGAAGAGAUAAGUGCUGAAAGCAUCUAAGCACGAAACUUGCCCCGAGAUGAGUUCUCCCUGACCCUUUAAGGGUCCUGAAGGAACGUUGAAGACGACGACGUUGAUAGGCCGGGUGUGUAAGCGCAGCGAUGCGUUGAGCUAACCGGUACUAAUGAACCGUGAGGCUUAACCUUACAACGCCGAAGGUGUUUUG
RNAcentral lists this ribosomal RNA (366 nucleotides) under Escherichia coli O157:H7 str. 1044. RNAcentral's name for it is "LSU rRNA". It matches the Rfam family "Bacterial large subunit ribosomal RNA", at positions 2585 to 2925 of the family's 2925-position model. The record is from RNAcentral. Lineage: Bacteria; Pseudomonadati; Pseudomonadota; Gammaproteobacteria; Enterobacterales; Enterobacteriaceae.